GAUCGGCCCGCGUCUGAUUAGCUAGUUGGUGAGGUAAUGGCUCACCAAGGCGACAAUCCUUAGCUGGUUUGAGAGAACGACCAGCCACACUGGGACUGAGACACGGCCCAAACUCCUACGGGAGGCAGCAGUGGGGAAUAUUGGACAAUGGGCGCAAGCCUGAUCCAGCCAUGCCGCGUGAGUGAUGAAGGCCUUAGGGUUGUAAAGCUCUUUUGGCGGGGACAAUAAUGACGGUCCCCGCAAAAUAAGUCCCGGCUAAUUUCGUGCCACCAGCCGCGGUAAUACAAAGGGGACUAGCGUUGUUCGGAAUCACUGGGCGUAAAGCGCACGUAGGCGGAUUUGUAAGUCAGGGGUGAAAUCCCGGGGCUCAACCUCAGAACUGCUUUUGAUACUGCGAAUCUUGAGUCCGAAAAAGGUGGGUGGAAUUCCUAGUGUAGAGGUGAAAUUUCGAGAUUCUAGGAAAAAAACCCCCCGUGGAAAGGGGGUUUACUGGGCCCAUUUUUUCCCUUUAGCGACCAAAAAUUUGGGGGGGCCAAACCCGGUUUAUAUCCCCCCGGUGGUUCCCCCCCCCUAAAAACAAUGAAAGGCCCCCCCCCCUUGGGGGAAUUUCCUUCCAUUAUGGGGGGGGGCGCCUAAUAAC
This 640-nucleotide ribosomal RNA is filed under the name uncultured Alphaproteobacteria bacterium. RNAcentral describes it as "partial 16S ribosomal RNA". It matches the Rfam family "Bacterial small subunit ribosomal RNA", at positions 224 to 856 of the family's 1533-position model. Lineage: Bacteria; Pseudomonadati; Pseudomonadota; Alphaproteobacteria. The record is from RNAcentral.